UGGAGGGGGAGGGGGACUGGUCUGCUGAUUACCCAUCUGUAAAAUGGGAUGAAAAGGAGAACUUUGAUGAUCCCCAGGUGAAUCAAUACUAUAGAAGCAUAACCGCCCACCAACCCUCUGCUCCCUCUCAGGGUAUAGAAUCCUGUAGACACCCUCCUCCCCAACCAGCUGGUGCUGCCGUCCCCAGCACAUGGUAGGAGGGAGCAAGGGAUCCAGAGCGAUGCAGAGCCUCAGGGAACAGAGCAGAGGGGACGAUCCUGCCACCGGCGCAGCAGGGUCCGGAAAUGCACCUGCUUGAAAGGGCACGGGAAGUGCCGGGCGCUGUGACCGCCGCAGGACUGAACAGUUUGGCCAAUGCCUGUUCUCCAUAUGGCGAUAACACCCCAGCUGCUGCCUCUUCUCCGAGAUGAGGCACUUCUCGAACUGAAACAAAAACCUUCAGUGAAGGUUCAGCUCUUCCCAGCAUGGAAAAAAGCCCAGUUUCCAGUCCACAAACCGCUUAGAUGGGAAAUUCCUGCCCUGCCCUCUCACUGGAUGUCCUGCAGCUGGUCUGAGCUUGGAGCCGGGCAGGGAUGACGGUGCAGGCUGUUGUGAGAAGCCCCUUGUUUUGGGGUCUCAAGUGCA
This is a long non-coding RNA of Mauremys reevesii (Reeves's turtle), 624 nucleotides long. RefSeq lists it as uncharacterized. The record is from RefSeq and is a predicted model, not a curated record. NCBI's taxonomy places the organism in Eukaryota, Metazoa, Chordata, Testudines, Geoemydidae. The transcript has 3 exons.